UUUUAUAUAGUUUAAAUUAAAACAUUAUAUUUUCAUUAUAAAAAAAAAGGAUUAUCCUUUUAUAAAAU
Molecule: transfer RNA, 68 nt
Filed under: Endochironomus pekanus
Lineage: Eukaryota; Metazoa; Arthropoda; Insecta; Diptera; Chironomidae
Description: tRNA-Glu
Source: RNAcentral